UACGUAGGGUGCGAGCGUUAAUCGGAAUUACUGGGCGUAAAGCGUGCGCAGGCGGUUCGUUAUGUCCGUUGUGAAAGCCCGGGGCUCACCCCCGGAAGUGCAUUGGAAACUGGUGGACUCGAGUCCCGGAGAGGAGAGUGGAAUUCCUGGUGUAGCGGUGAAAUGCGUAGAUAUCAGGAGGAACACCGGUGGCGAAGGCGGCUCUCUGGACGGUGACUGACGCUGAGACGCGAAAGCGUGGGGAGCAAACAGG
This 253-nucleotide ribosomal RNA is filed under the name uncultured bacterium. Its description in RNAcentral is "partial 16S ribosomal RNA". It matches the Rfam family "Bacterial small subunit ribosomal RNA", at positions 524 to 776 of the family's 1533-position model. The record is from RNAcentral.